GACGAACGCUGGCGGCGUGCCUAAUACAUGCAAGUAGAACGCUGAAGGAGGAGCUUGCUUCUCUGGAUGAGUUGCGAACGGGUGAGUAACGCGUAGGUAACCUGCCUGGUAGCGGGGGAUAACUAUUGGAAACGAUAGCUAAUACCGCAUAAGAGUAGAUGUUGCAUGACAUUUGCUUAAAAGGUGCAAUUGCCUCACUACCAGAUGGACCUGCGUUGUAUUAGCUAGUUGGUGGGGUAACGGCUUACCAAGGCGACGAUACAUAGCCGACCUGAGAGGGGGAUCGGCCAAACUGGGACUGAGACACGGCCCAGACUCCUACGGGAGGCAGCAGUAGGGAAUCUUCGGCAAUGGACGGAAGUCUGACCGAGCAACGCCGCGUGAGUGAAGAAGGUUUUCGGAUCGUAAAGCUCUGUUGUAAGAGAAGAACGAGUGUGAGAGUGGAAAGUUCACACUGUGACGGUAUCUUACCAGAAAGGGACGGCUAACUACGUG
This 495-nucleotide ribosomal RNA is filed under the name uncultured bacterium. RNAcentral describes it as "partial 16S ribosomal RNA". It matches the Rfam family "Bacterial small subunit ribosomal RNA", at positions 28 to 507 of the family's 1533-position model. The record is from RNAcentral.